RNAcentral lists this ribosomal RNA (446 nucleotides) under uncultured bacterium. RNAcentral's name for it is "bacterial SSU rRNA". It matches the Rfam family "Bacterial small subunit ribosomal RNA", at positions 355 to 825 of the family's 1533-position model. The record is from RNAcentral.
UGGGGAAUCUUGGACAAUGGGGGAAACCCUGAUCCAGCGAUGCCGCGUGAGUGACGAAGGCCUUAGGGUUGUAAAGCUCUUUUGGCGGGGAAGAUAAUGACGGUACCCGCAGAAUAAGCUCCGGCUAACUUCGUGCCAGCAGCCGCGGUAAUACGAAGGGAGCUAGCGUUGUUCGGAAUCACUGGGCGUAAAGCGCACGUAGGUGGGCAGUUAAGUCAGGGGUGAAAGCCCGAGGCUCAACCUCGGAAUUGCCUCUGAUACUGGCUGUCUAGAGUUCGAGAGAGGUGAGUGGAAUUCCUAGUGUAGAGGUGAAAUUCGUAGAUAUUAGGAAGAACACCAGUGGCGAAGGCGGCCAACUGGCUCGAUACUGACGCUGAGGUGCGAAAGCGUGGGGAGCAAACAGGAUUAGAUACCCAAGUAGUCCUGAGCGGGCUGGCAAGGCGCAU